AAAUAGGAUUUACUUAAAUCCAUUAUUUCAAGAAUGAAGAAGACA
This is a non-coding RNA of Dipodomys ordii (Ord's kangaroo rat), 45 nucleotides long. The record is from Rfam. Lineage: Eukaryota; Metazoa; Chordata; Mammalia; Rodentia; Heteromyidae.